GGUACUAAAGAAGAAAGAUUGCAUAUAAAUGAGGGUUUUUCCAGUUUACAUGACAAGAAUGGUAGUUCUGAGAAAUGACAAAAAUUACGAUAUUUAUGCUUUGUUUCUCUAACGGUACUGAAGAAAAAAUAGUGCAUCUAAAUUAGGGUUUUCUAAAGUAGUCUGUGACUCUGAGGAAGGACUGAAAUAACAAUAUGCAUGCUCUGUUUCGUAAAGUAAUGUUUACAAUAUCAAAUAAAAUAUUAAAAAGGAAAUUAUAAAAAUUUUCAUGUAUGUAAUAUUACGUAAUAAAUAUAUGCAUGGAAGAAAUAACACAAAAUAAUCUAUUAUAGUACUAUACAAUGUUAGGUAAUAAAUGUAUUAGUGGAAAAUUAAAUCUAUUGAGUGUGUGGUUAAGUCAACUUUGUCAAUUUCAAAAGUUAGGUAUUUUUUCAUUAAUUUCUGUAUCUUUUUUCGGCGUUGUAUGAAGAUUAGUCAACUACCUUUUUUUUUUUAGUUUCAUUUUUGUACUGAAGGUCAAAAACUUUAAUGUGGGCAAAUUUUUUGCUUGAAUUCUCUCUUUCUAACGACCAAACUGAAAUAUUUAUAUCUUUAACUUUUAUUUUUGUUGAUCAUACGUUCUAAUUUAUCUUCGUUGUGUCAUAUUUUCCUCGUCACCUACCGUCCACCCCUUCGUAUCCCAGCCCGGUAAAAUUUGUACACCCCCUUCAUCUAUCCUAUAGUUGAGUUCAAGUACGUGAUGAUUUGAGAUCCUUGAACUAAAAAAUUGACAUAAGUAAACUAGAAGUGUCGGUCACAAGUUGAAAAAAGUGUUGGCCACUGUGAGUCGAUGACAUGUCCCUUCCUCUGUGAACAUAUUUUGAUAUUUGGUCAAUGCACAUUGCUCAUGGACAACCCAUAUUGACAAUGCGCUUGAAUGGAAGCACACAUGGCAUUGAAUCAUGUUACAAGUGUGUUGUUCCCCUUAAGAAGCGAUGUGCCUUGCAAGGUAUUGCCAAAAGGGUGAUGCUACACGUACAUCAGAGUGUUCAUAACGAUAUUCAUCAUUUCACAUGAAGGGGGGGGGGGGGUCACUUCUAAUAAAAUAUAGUUUAUCCGAAGUGGGUUCUCUUCUAUGUGAAUUGGUGAAUAUCGUUAUGGACAUCAUAUUAUGUACAAUUAAUAUAUUCCUUGCUAGAAAUUGUAACUUCCUACCGAGGAAUUGGCCGCUUGACAUCAUAGUUUACACUGUCAAUUGACCAAAUGUUAUGUGCUAACAGUAUUAUUUUUUUAGCGAACGUAUAGUGCACAGAACUCAUGUUGGCUAGCAAUUGACAAUUCCUAAAGCGAGUAUUUAAAAGGUACACGUGGCUAUCUAAUUACCUUUUAAUCAUGUUAUACUUUUUAGAAACUCAACACUGUGUAAACAAUCGUCAAUUUCUUACUUUUUUUUUGGUUGUCGGUAUGUUGUUUGGUGGGUGCUAAUUGCACAUGUCCCUAUUGAUAUGUCCUAGAGGAUUGACAAUGACUAGAUUGUGGUGCUUGCUUCUUGUGUCUUUGGCAUGUACUGUGAACUGUGAAGAGGGGAAGCUGAAGAGAUGCUUUGGGGGUUGAAACUACACCCUUCAAGAAUAGAAGGUGUAUAUUUGUAAUAUUAAUUCAAAACAAAGUUAUUUAUUUGGGAAAAACAACAGAUAGUCUCCAUCCGAUUGACGACUUCACUUGAG
Molecule: long non-coding RNA, 1706 nt
Filed under: Olea europaea subsp. europaea
Lineage: Eukaryota; Viridiplantae; Streptophyta; Magnoliopsida; Lamiales; Oleaceae
Source: RNAcentral